GAUGAACGCUGGCGGUGUGCCUAAUACAUGCAAGUCGAGCGAACAGACGAGGAGCUUACUCCUCUGACGUUAGCGGCGGACGGGUGAGUAACACGUGGAUAACCUACCUAUAAGACUGGGAUAACUUCGGGAAACCGGAGCUAAUACCGGAUAACAUGUUGAACCGCAUGGUUCAACAGUGAAAGACGGUCUUGCUGUCACUUAUAGAUGGAUCCGCGUCGCAUUAGCUAGUUGGUAAGGUAACGGCUUACCAAGGCAACGAUGCGUAGCCGACCUGAGAGGGUGAUCGGCCACACUGGAGCUGAGACACGGUCCAGACUCCUACGGGAGGCAGCAGUAGGGAAUCUUCCGCAAAGGGCGAAAGCCUGACGGAGCAACGCCGCGUGAGUGAAGAAGGUCUUCGGAUCGUAAAACUCUGUUAUUAGGGAAGAACAAAUGUGUAAGUAACUAUGCACGUCUUGACGGUACCUAAUCAGAAAGCCACGGCUAACUACGUG
Molecule: ribosomal RNA, 497 nt
Filed under: uncultured bacterium
Lineage: Bacteria
Description: partial 16S ribosomal RNA
Rfam family: Bacterial small subunit ribosomal RNA
Source: RNAcentral